UUGCAGCAUUGCUGUCAGUAUGGUUCAUUUAGUAGCUCUUUUGCCUAAGGUCCAGAAGGUUGAAGGUAGGAACAGCUUCCACACGUAGAUGUAUGGCUCCAACACUGACACCACUUGGUGGAAGGGACAGCUGCUGGAGGUGGCAGCAGGAUGCUCAGAGGGGCCACUUUGGGAGAUCUUCCCAGAAGCUGGAAACCCCUGGCUGGACGGGAGAAGAGCAGGGUGUCUCUGAUCCGUGCAUCUCUGCCCAGCCUCCAGCCUGCAUGAGGAGCCUUGCUAGUAUGGUGUGAAAGAAGAGAAACUCUUGGGAUUCCAGGGGGAAGCUGUUCCUGGCCUGCACUCCCUGGCCCAUGCUGAAUAUAAUAUGGUCUUUGUGUGAUGCCUGCCUUGCUAGCAUCAAGUACAAUGAACUCCAGGAUGUUUUGAGCCCUAAAAAUACCACACAAAGCUCAGAUAGCUUAUGCUUGUUGAAAACAAAGCAUCAAAACAUUAAUUGCUCUCAUUGAGACCAAUGAUCUUGCUCUGGCUUUAGGGACUGCUCCAUUCCAAGUUCUUAGAAGCACACAAAGGCUCCUGGUUGGUUCCUCCUCAUCAACAGGGUACAGACAUUUCCAUUAAUGAACAUAAGCCACCAGCUGAGAAAGGUCAGCAGCCGUAGGUAAUAAGCUGUAGGAGUGUUUGCUUGCUUAUCUUUCUGUCUCUAGCAUUCAGGUGUUUGCAACAUGCUUGCAGCAGGUACUGCUGAAGAUGGGAUGUGAUUGCUAUAUAGCCACCCAGCCAUGCGUGGGAGUGCCUACCAAUAUAUUUGUUCAUUCAAGUUUUCGGGCUCCUGAAGUGGUAGUGAAAACUGUACUGUGGCCAGAGGUUUUUUCCUUCUUUCUCCUUCCCUUGUACCUCAGAGUGGGGGCUACUCUGCAGGAAAAGCCCAAGGAAGCAUGGACAUUUGAACCCAGAAGGAGGGAGAUGUCUACGCUUGAAGUGUGCUUAGUCACCUAAAGCAGAUGGUGUUGUUUCUGGUUCCUGAUGGGAUGACUUUCUGCUCCCAAAAGCCUUUCAAGUUUCACCAGGCAGACAUGUUUGAAAGAAUGUCAGAUGAGCACACAUCUGUCCAAGAUUCUUUACCAAACAGCGACAUGAGUACAAUUAAAUGAACAAAAGAAGAGUUUGCAAUUACAGCUGGAGAAAGUGCAUGGCUUGCUUUCAAAGAUCUGCUUGAAUACUGUUCUCGUAGAUUGCACUCAAGUCAGUACAGUUUUCUCCUUCUAUGAAAUCUGACUUUCUUCUCAUUGCAUUUUGAAAAACACUGGAAAAAAUCAGUAUUGUAAACUUUAUUAAAACUAGAGUUAUUGAUC
Molecule: long non-coding RNA, 1352 nt
Filed under: Phasianus colchicus (ring-necked pheasant)
Lineage: Eukaryota; Metazoa; Chordata; Aves; Galliformes; Phasianidae
Description: lncRNA (ENSPCLG00000001502.1)
Source: RNAcentral